UUAACAUCCCGCUCCCGGUGGCGCAGGGGAGCCGGCCAAAGUUCCUCGCAAAGUGGCGAGCGAAGGAGCGCUGAGCACUGACGUCUGGGCUGGGGAGGAGCGGGUCCGAGCGAGGACGGAGAGGGGACAGAGGGAAAGGGAGGCGGGUGUCUUCCUCAGGAAUUUGAGCUGGGGAUCUGCAUCCUGGCCAUUGCAGUCCUUUAGCAUCCUCGCCGCGCCCUGAGCGCGCUGGAGGCUCGCAGGCUGCGCCCUCCCAGGGCUGAUGCCGCGUCCUGCUCCGCCGUUCUGGGACGUCGGGGACAAAAGUGGAGGAGACGGGAGAGCCCGGGCAGAAAAAGCAGGACGCGCGUCCCAGCUGCCGUGAAGAUGCCAAACCCACCAAGACUGCGCUGCCCCACCUCUCCGAGGCUGUCCUGGGAGUGCGGGUGACCCGCGAGCUCCAGAAUCUUUCCUUAAGGUGGAGCCACAGCGCCACCUCGCGAUCCUCCAGCUUCCCUCCCUCAUGGCCACGGAAGGCUGGCCCUUUCUGGUCCAAGCCCCCAGGGUCCCACACUUACUGGUUUUCCAUGCACUUUCAUUAUUUCCCUUUCUCUCUCUUCAAUGUUCCCUUAUCCUGAGUAUUGAGGUCCCCAAACGCGCCUUUCUACCCCACGUUUGGACAUAGCCGGAAUGUCUACCUCCUUCUCCAUCCGGUGAAGCACUGCUCCCCCUAAAAUCACCAGCUCAAAAGUCACCUCUAUGAAACCUUUUUAGACUUUUCCAACGCAGUCAUUCGUGCCUUUCCCUGGUUUCCCUACUGCUCGCAUCACAUUGGACAGGAAAUGCUAUUUAAACGUUUUUCUCCUCUCCCUAAUCAGGGAGCUCCUCUGAGAGGAGCCAUGGCUGUCCUUGCUUAUUCAACAAUAAAACCUAGUAUAUAUCAAGUGCAUACUAUGGAGCGUUUAAUGCACUGUACUGUGCAAAAACAUAUUGUCUUAUUUCAUUUUCCCAGCAAAAUCAUGAGGAAAGCACGAAUAUUGUUUCCCAUUUUGCAGAUGAAGAAACUGAGGUUAGAGAAAAUAAGUACCCAUCCAAGGUAGCAUUGCAGAGCCUCAUCCAAGUCAGCCUGUCGGAUGCCAGAGCCAACUUUUCUUAACCUCUGACUUGCAGACUUAUUCAGCUGUAUAUCCGUGGGCUUUGUGAUAGGAAAAGACACAGAAUGAGUACUUGUGUGUUUAUGAAUAAAUGUAUCUUUUAAAUUAUUUCUUCUCCUAGAGAGUUGGGUGUGGGAAGGCACUGCAAUUAUCAGAUACUUUGAUUGAAAUGUCACCACAAUUAUUUAUCUCUAAAGAGUAUUCCUCUGCUAAGUAGCUAGGAGACCUUGGUCAAGUCACUUCAUCCUCAGUUUCCUAAGUUCUAAAAGUAGGUUUUCUGUGGAGGAUUAAAUGAGAAAAAAAAAUGUGAAUUACAUGAUAUAUAGCAUUCUAGUCAUUGCUCAGUAAUUAUAAUAACUCGAAACUACUGAAACACACACAAAAAAAACAAAACACAAAAUUGACUUACCCUAGUCACACAGAAUUCCCUGUACCUCUGUAUGAAAUCAUCUUACUGUUAUAUCUUCAUUUUCAUCUUAGACAUGAAUUAUAUAAUAAAUAUUUUUAGUUUAUGGUGGUUAGGGUGUUAAUGUUAACCCUGCUCUGUUACAAAUAUUUAAGGGGUAGUGGGAGAGAUAUAAUCAAACAGUAAACCAGCAAACUUUGCCUCUUGUAAUUUCCUCCUGCUUUGUAGAUCUUUACCAAGAAAGAUUUAAAGAAAGGCUAUAAAAGUACUUAUUGGCCAGGCACGGUGUCUCACUCCUGUAAUCCCAGCACUUUGGGAGUCCGAGGCAGGUGGAUAACCUGAGGUCAGGAGUUCGAGACCAGCCUGGCCAAUAUGGUGAAACCCUGUCUCUACUAAAAAUACAAAAAAUUAGCCGGGCUUGGUGACGGGUGCCUGCAAUCCUAGCUACUUGGGAGGCUGAGGCAGGAGAAUCGCUUGAACCCAGGAGGCAGAGGUUGCAGUGAGCCAAGAUCGCACCAUUGCACUCCACCUGGGCAACAAGAACAAAACUCUGCCUCAAAAAAAAAGAAAAAAGAAAAAGAAAAAGAUGCUUAUUAUUCUGGAAAGUACAAAACUCUAUUUUUUAAUUUAGGGGAGAUUCUGAGCUAGUUUAAGUGUUUCCCUACUUGAAAACAUCAUUGCUACCAAUACAUUAAAAGUUUAAAAAUAUGUGUCUAAGCAAAUGAUUGUAUCCAAAUAAAAGAAAACUCAAAUAAAAUAAUGUAUUACUACUAAUAUAUUAAAAGUUUAAAAAUACAUGUCUAAGCAAAUGAUUGUAUCCAAAUAAAAUAAACAAAUGAAGGUUGUCUGAACAUAUUCUAGACCUUAAGACAUUUCCCAAAAAGGUUAAGUUUUAAAGAUUUAACAUCUCUUUCUAGAGUGACCCAUUAAACAAACAUUCCUAUUGUCAAUUAGGUGAAAAUGAACUUUUUCCCCUGUUACGGCUAUAACUUUCCUACUGUCCAAUUAUUUUGGAAAGACUGUUGACUAGUAUUGUCAUGUCAUAAACACAUGAUUUCUCCUCUGAGAAAUGAGGCUAAUAAAAUCCACAAAAGGUAUAAACGUGCCUCCACAUUUUGCUGGCCCACAGUCCAUUUCUAGAAACUUCACUCCAGCCCCAGUUUAAUUUACUUUAUUGUACUUGCUUCCCAUUCUAUGCAAUUCUCUUGUAUAGAGAUGAAGAAAUGGAUUCAGGAAACUCUAUAAUGUGUUAAGAUAUUUUAUUGUACAGCUGAUGGAUAUUUGGGAAUUUGAUUCAUAUUGAUGGUGUGAGACACUGGCGUUUUGACAAAGUUGGGGUGUGUUCUGUUUUCCUUUUUUAUUCCUAUUAUGGUGGCCAUUAGAGAUGUUCACCAAAAUUUUGGGUUUUCUUCUUCCAGGUGCAUAGAAGGAUGGAAGUAUUCUGACCCUUCUGCAUUUAGCUGUGAUCUUGUGAUUUGCCCUGGCAAAUAAUGAAUUAGCAGAAGUGACAUGUGUCACUUACAGGGGCAGAAGCAUGAAGAGCCAUAGUGCAAUUUACCAAAUCCCCUUCCCGGUGGCACAGCUGUUGCUGCCCCCACCAGAUGGAGUUUCCAUCAGCAUCCCACCCCUGGCACAGACGUGUGGAGUGGAGACAUCUCCUACACCCAUAGACAUUUAGCAAGAAUGAGAAAUAAUCCUUUGUUACUGUAAAUCCCAGAGAUUUUUCUGUACUGCAGUAUAACCUAGCCUCUCUGGAAGAAUACACUUAGAAAGGAAACUCAUCUUUUCUUUUCUUUUGGGGGGCAAUUUGAAAAUUCUUCUCCUAGAGUGAAAAGUAGACUGCCAUGUCUAAUUAAAUAAAAUAAUCAGAAAAUGAAAUCAUUCAACUAGAAAUCUGAAUCUCAUUUUCUUAGUCUAUUCAUACAUUUCCCCAGGGUCAAAACAUCUGGAACCCUCUGAAAUAAGGAGAAUAACUAAAUUUUACAAAUACUUAAAAGGAAUCUCAAAAUUAUUGCUAGACCUCGACAAGAAUAUUCAGUGGGUCCUUAGUCCACUUGCAGAUACAUCAUGAAGUGAGUUACAUAGGUUGUGAUUAGAAAAUACUUUAUUAGCAAUUGGCCAGGCACAGUGGCUCACGCCUGUAAUCCCAGCACUUUGGGAGGCUGAGGUGUGAGGAUCAUCUGAGGCCAGGAGUUUGAGACCAGCCUGGCCAACAUGACGAAACCCUGUCCCUACUAAAAAUACAAAAAUUAGCUAGGCGUGGUGGCACACGCCUGUAGUCCCAGCUACUCAGGAGGCUGAGGCAGGAGAAUCACUUGAACCCAGAAGGCGGAGGUUGCAGUGAGUCAAGAUCAUACCACUACACUCCAGCCUGGGUGACAGAGAGACCCAUUUCAAAAAAAAAAAGAAAAAAGAAAAAAAGAAAAGGCUUUAUUAGCAACUGUAUGCAGACAUAAAGUAACUUUUCUCUCUGCCUCAUGUUCAAUUCUAUAUCAGAUUGGCAAAAAGGAAAAAUAUUUGACUAAUCAACUUGAAUUUAAUAACGUGAUCUAGGGCAAGUCAUUUAAAUUUUCCAGACCUUCUUGUCCUCAUGUGGUGUGAUGGACUCAAUGUUUCUGCCUUGCCCCGCUCCUCUGCCCUGCCAAAUUCAUAUAUUGAAACCCAAAUGCACAAUGUGAUGGUAUUACUUCCCACAGAUAACUAGGAGGUAAUUAGGUUAAGAUGAGCCAUGAGGGUGGGAUUAGUGUCCUUAAAAGAAGAGGUAGAGACUAAAGCUAGCAAGCACUCUCCAUCUGUCUCUCUCCCUCUCUGUCUCUCCCUGUCAUACGAGGACACAACAAGAAGGUAGCUUUCUGCAAGGCAGGAAGAGAACCCUCACCAGAACCUCAUCAUGUUGGCAUCCUGAUCUCACACUUCCCAACUUCCAGAAUGACAUGAUCGCUGGUAACAGAUGCCUGGUUCACUCUCAUCCUGGCCAUACCUGAGGACUAUGCUCCUCUUCUAGAAGUUCGGUGCAGUCAUCUGACUUAAUUGAUUCAGCGCAUUUAUCUGCAGGCUGGAGUACAAUAGCACGACAUCAGCUCACUGCAACAUCUGCCUCCCGGGUUCAAGCAAUUCUCCUGCCUCAGCUUCCCGAGUUGCUGGGAUUACAGGCACCUGCCACCAUGCCCAGCUAAUUUUUGUAUUUUUAGUAGAGAUGGGGUUUCACCAUGUUGGUCAGGCUGGUCUUGAACUCCUGACCUCAGGUGAUCCACUUGCCUCGGCCUCCCAAAGUGCUGGGAUUACAGGUGUGAGCCACCGCACCUGGCCUGUGAGAUGGUUUUCUUGGGUAGAAUGAAAGAAGCUUGGCUACUGGGUCCAUUUUAUGUGAACAUGUUGCUCCCUAUUAUAGUCAGUCCCUGGAACCCAUUGUAAAGUCAGUUCUGGGUUUUUGCUUAGCUACCAUGUAGUAACAGUCACAGCCUGUCUCCUGUCACCCUAACACCAUCACCAUUGCCAGUGGAUAUUUUUACCCCUAGUUUAUAGUUAGGAAGCCUGAGACCCAGAGGGAUUAAAGAGCUUUUCCAAAAUCAUAUGGCUGGCAACACUAGUAAUCUGGGCUGCCUGAGUCCUAAACAUCAUUCUACCCCAGCAUUGAAUUCCGAGGCCUCUAGAAUCUUACCUACCUUCCCUGUUUGAAAUGUAUUUGUGGGGGAACAAUUGACCUCAGAAUGAGUAAUUUGUCACUACUCUGAGAAAGUUUCACCGAGUUUCACAUUUUCCCAUUACAAAAGGAAAAUGAGAAAAUAUGUCCUAGAUACUACAGAGAAAAAUACUUCAUUGUCUUAAUUGCCUUUCUAUUUCAAUCAAGGAAGGCAUUUAAUUAUUUCUGAACUACAUUCAAAACUCUCUCUCAAGAAUAUUACUCUCCCCAGGUGAGUUAACCAAAGCUGUGCACAACAUUUCUCAAUCUGAAUAAUAACAUCAAAAAAUUUAUUGAGCACUUUUUAUAUGCCAAACUAGUCAAUUCUUUCUGUUUAUGACCUCAUUGAUUCCUCAUGGCAAGUUUAUGAAGUGGAAGCAAUCAUUCUCUCUUCUAACAAAUGAGGAAACUGAGGCACAGAGGGAUGAGAUAGUUUGUCUAAGAUUGUAAGGCAUUAGGUGGUGAAGUCAGCAUUGGAUCCCAGGCCAAGCCCGAGGCCAUCACUCCACCAUGCUGCCUCUCAAGAGAAAGAUUCAGUUUCCCCUUUGAGAUAUCCAUUUAUAAGUACAUGUGCCAAAGCAAUGUGAAGAAACCAACCCAGAUGACUUGAUUAAGCUACAGAAGGGACAUCUGGGGUCUCAAGCCUCUGGAAAUCAAGGUGGAGCAUGUAGAGGUUAUGGGAUCAGGAGAGACAGAGUUUGACUUCUUUGUUUUUUCUUUGAGACCAAGUCUUGCUCUGUUGCCCAGGCUGGAGUGCAGUGGUGUGAUCUUGGCUCAAUACAACCUCCACCUCCUGGGUUCAAGUGAUUCUCCUGCCUCGGGCUACUGAGUAGCUGGGAUUACAGGCGCACGCCAUCAGGCCGGCUAAUUUUUGUAUUUUUAGUAGACACGGGGUUUCACCAUGUUGGUCAGGCUGGUCUCGAACUCCUGACCUCGUGAUCCACCUGCCUCGGCCUCCCAAAGUGCUGGGAUUACAGGCAUGAGCCACCGUGCCCGGCCUGGGUUUGACUUCUUAAGCAACCUGAGGAAUGAUGUCCUUGCUGCUGAGCACAGCUGCCCUGGGCCCUGGAAAACCCACAUGACACUCACUCAGCACCCAAUGCUGGCUUCAUUGUGGCUGUUGGAAACCAUGUGGAAAAGAAAUAACUUUUUUUGUGAUCUGUACGUUAUGGCUAUUAUUUUUUUACCUCGCUUAGCUUUUCAAGAGAAUGAAGACCAGUCGACUUAGUAUUUGUACUCUGAAAUCGAAUGGCAUGAACACAUGUGUUGUAUAAGUGAGAAGAAGUAUUCUCUUGUGUGAUGGACUAUAGCCUUCAGAAAGCACCUACUAUUAAACAGAAUAGAGAUUGGAUUUUGAAAUAUGUAGGCCACAUCAGUAGGAAAGUUGACACUUCAAAUUGCUCACAAGGACUUUAAACUCUACAAUAGGUAAAAUGUGGAGUACCUUAUGUUUUCAGACCAAAUGAUUUUGUAAUUUGAAUUCAAAAUUUUUUUAGUCUUCACAGUAGUCUUAGCAUUAAAAGCAUAGUUAUUUUUAAUAUUUUGAUAAAAUAUUCUAUUUCAUUAAUUUUGUAUAAGGGCAUGUGUGAGAAGCAUUGAUAUUUUUAAAAUAUAAAAAUACAGCCUCUUUCUAAUAAGCAAGAGCAAUUGUUGAUUUUUAAAUUUUGUGUUUUUGGAGGCUUCCAUUCACAAAUCUGAUUGUUUAAAUAAAUCUGUCUCCAGUAAAUAUGUUGGCACU
RNAcentral lists this long non-coding RNA (6959 nucleotides) under Homo sapiens (human). Its description in RNAcentral is "HSALNT0330502". The record is from RNAcentral. Lineage: Eukaryota; Metazoa; Chordata; Mammalia; Primates; Hominidae.